This 324-nucleotide ribosomal RNA is filed under the name Triticum aestivum (bread wheat). Its description in RNAcentral is "partial small subunit ribosomal RNA". The record is from RNAcentral. Lineage: Eukaryota; Viridiplantae; Streptophyta; Magnoliopsida; Poales; Poaceae.
AUGGAGGCAUUGACAGACAUGGUUGUCAAGGCAGAAUCAGAGGGCGUCAUUAGUUAUAUGCCGGGCUGUUCUCCGCUUCAGAGGCUCUUGAUUUACGCUGAUGAUGUGGUCCUCAUCAGGCCAACUUCUCUUGACUUUGCCUUCGCCAGAAGAGCUUUGACAAUUUUCGGUAUGGCCUCUGGUCCCUGUGUCAAUUAUGCCAAAUCAUCAACGAUCCUUAUCAGAGGAGAGGAGCAAGAACAACUUCUGGUUGCUUCAGCCUUACCCUGCCAGAUUGGGAAUUUCCCUUGCAAGUAUUUGGGAUUGCAAUUCUCAGUGGGAUAG